This 3529-nucleotide small RNA is filed under the name Pongo abelii (Sumatran orangutan). Its description in RNAcentral is "retained intron". Lineage: Eukaryota; Metazoa; Chordata; Mammalia; Primates; Hominidae. The record is from RNAcentral.
UGGAUGGCCUUGGUGACGGCUAGUGUGUGGAGGUGAGCUCCAGGAUUGCGUGGUUGCCUCAUGCUGCAGGCUGCGGCCGUCAGCCCCCACUCGCAUUGGUGGCGCUGAGGUGCCGGGGCAGCAAGCGACAUGUCGUCGGGCCUCCGCGCCGCUGACUUCCCCCGCUGGAAGCGCCACAUCUCGGAGCAACUGAGGCGCCGGGACCGGCUGCAGAGACAGGCGUUCGAGGAGAUCAUCCUGCAGUAUAACAAAUUGCUGGAAAAGUCAGAUCUUCAUUCAGUGUUGGCCCAGAAACUACAGGCUGAAAAGCAUGACGUACCAAACAGGCAUGAGAUAAGUCCUGGACAUGAUGGCACAUGGAAUGACAGUCAGCUACAAGAAAUGGCCCAACUGAGGAUUAAGCACCAAGAGGAACUGACUGAAUUACACAAGAAACGUGGGGAGUUAGCUCAAUUGGUGAUUGACCUGAAUAACCAAAUGCAGCGGAAGGACAGGGAGAUGCAGAUGAAUGAAGCAAAAAUUGCAGAAUGUUUGCAGACUAUCUCUGACCUGGAGACGGAGUGCCUAGACCUGCGCACUAAGCUUUGUGACCUUGAAAGAGCCAACCAGACCCUGAAGGAUGAAUAUGAUGCCCUGCAGAUCACUUUUACUGCCUUGGAGGGAAAACUGAGGAAAACUACGGAAGAGAACCAGGAGCUGGUCACCAGAUGGAUGGCUGAGAAAGCCCAGGAAGCCAAUCGGCUUAACGCAGAGAAUGAAAAAGACUCCAGGAGGCGGCAAGCCCGGCUGCAGAAAGAGCUUGCAGAAGCAGCAAAAGAACCUCUACCAGUCGAACAGGAUGAUGACAUUGAGGUCAUCGUGGAUGAAACCUCUGAUCACACAGAAGAGACCUCUCCUGUGCGAGCCAUCAGCAGAGCAGCCACUAAGCGACUCUCACAGCCUGCUGGAGGCCUUCUGGAUUCUAUCACUAAUAUCUUUGGGAGACGCUCUGUCUCUUCCUUCCCAGUCCCCCAGGACAAUGUGGAUACUCAUCCUGGUUCUGGUAAAGAAGUGAGGGUACCAACUACUGCCUUGUGUGUGUUCGAUGCACAUGAUGGGGAAGUCAAUGCUGUGCAGUUCAGUCCAGGUUCCCGGUUACUGGCCACCGGAGGCAUGGACCGCAGGGUUAAGCUUUGGGAAGUAUUUGGAGAAAAAUGUGAGUUCAAGGGUUCCCUAUCUGGCAGUAAUGCAGGAAUUACAAGCAUUGAAUUUGAUAGUGCUGGAUCUUACCUCUUAGCAGCUUCAAAUGAUUUUGCAAGCCGAAUCUGGACUGUGGAUGAUUAUCGGUUACGGCACACACUCACGGGACACAGUGGGAAAGUGCUGUCUGCUAAGUUCCUGCUGGACAAUGCGCGGAUUGUCUCAGGAAGUCACGACCGGACUCUCAAACUCUGGGAUCUACGCAGCAAAGUCUGUGAGGAAAUUCAGUCUCUCUGUCUGUGUGUAUGCUUAGAUGUUAGUGUGGAGGUGUGUGUUUGCACGUCAGAGCCUGCAUUUAUGUAAUAUAGUUUGAAUUUCAGAUCUGGCUUCAUGUUUAGAGGGGCACUGAGAGUAGUGAUAGUUUUUCUUGUUUAAAGCUUCAUUUAAGUGAGUAACUCUGACAAGUCCGUGGUUAGAGGGUAGCAGCAUUAUGUAAACAGCCACGUUGGUGCCUCUGCUUGAUUAAUGAUGUUUGCAUUUCUUGCAGGCAUAAAGACAGUGUUUGCAGGAUCCAGUUGCAAUGAUAUUGUCUGCACAGAGCAAUGUGUAAUGAGUGGACAUUUUGACAAGAAAAUUCGUUUCUGGGACAUUCGAUCAGAGAGCAUAGUUCGAGAGAUGGAGCUGUUGGGAAAGAUUACUGCCCUGGACUUAAACCCAGAAAGGACUGAGCUCCUGAGCUGCUCCCGUGAUGACUUGCUAAAAGUUAUCGAUCUCCGAACAAAUGCUAUCAAGCAGACGUUCAGUGCACCUGGGUUCAAGUGUGGCUCUGACUGGACCAGAGUUGUCUUCAGCCCUGAUGGCAGUUACGUGGCGGCAGGCUCUGCUGAGGGCUCUCUCUAUAUCUGGAGUGUGCUCACAGGGAAAGUGGAAAAGGUUCUUUCAAAGCAGCACAGCUCAUCCAUCAAUGCGGUGGCGUGGUCGCCCUCUGGCUUGCACGUUGUCAGUGUGGACAAAGGAUGCAAAGCUGUGCUGUGGGCACAGUAUUGACGGGGCUCUCAGGGCUGGGAGGACCCCAGUGCCCUCCUCAGAAGAAGCACGUGGGCUCCUGCAGCCCUGUCCUGGCAGGUGAUGUGCUGGGUAUAGCAUGGACCUCCCAGAGAAGCUCAAGCUAUGUGGCACUGUAGCUUUGCCAUGAACGGGAUUUCUGAAGAUUUGACUGAGGUCUCUCUUGGCCUGGAAGAAGAACACUGAAAAAACCUGACGCUGCGGUCACUUAGCAGAGGCUCAGGUUCUUGCCUUGGGAAACACUACUAGCUCUGACCUUCCAUACCUCACUUGGGGGAGCACAGGGCCCCGCUGGGCCUUCUCACCAACGGCAGUGCCAAAAACAGCCCCCACAUCAAGGUGGUGUUCUCUGUGCUUUCUCUCGUCCUUCCAAAGUCGGUUCUGGCCUAACGCAUGUCCCAACACCUUGGGGUCGUUUGCCCAGUGAACUCACUUUAAGCAUUGGAUUAACGGAAACUCCCAGACUACAGACCCCUCCCUGGUGGGUUGCAUGAAUGUGUCUCAUUACUGCUGAAAUGUCCUCACAUCUCUUCCACUGUUCUUCAGAGCUUUCUGGCUCUCUUUCCCCCACAAGAUUCGACAUAUUUAAAAAUCUCUGGCUUUAAAAAAUGGUUUUUUGUUUUUUUGAGGUGGGAGAGGAUGUGUGAACAUCUUUUCCACAGAAAUGGGUUUGCUGCAGAGGUAAGGAUGUGUUCCUGUAUCGAUCUGCAGACACCCAGAAGGUGGGUGCACACUGCAUGCUUAGGGGUGCCAAGGGAUUCGAGACCUCCAACAUAUUUGUCUGAAGCUGGUGAUUCUGGCCACGGCCCCUCUGCCAAGCCUGUGUGUGAUGCCCUUGGUUCUUUAGUGCAAGAAGCCUAGGCUCAGAAGCACAGCAGCGCCAUCUCUCCGUUUCAGGGGUUGUGAUGAAGGCCAAGGAAAAACAUUUAUCUUUACCAUUUUACCUGUGUAUAAAGUUUUAGUUCAUUGGGUGUGUGAAACACCCUUUUUAUCACUUUUAAAUUUGCACUUUAUUUUUUUCUUCCAUGCUUGUUCUCUGGACAUUUGGGGAUGUGAGUGCUAGAGCCGGUGAGAGAGGAGUCAGGCGGCCUUCCCACCGAUGGUCCUGGCCUCCACCUGCCUUCUCUUUCCUGCCUGAUCACCGCUUUCCAAUUUGCCCUUCAGAGAACUUAAGUCAAGGAGAGUUGACAUUCACACGCCAGGGCACAUCUUUUAUUUAUUUCAUUAUGUUGGCCAACAGAACUUGAUUGUAAAUAAUAAUAAAGAAAUCUGUUAUAUACUUUUC